GGUAAAAUGGCUGAUAAUAGGCGAUAAAUUGUAAAUUUAUUUAUGAAUAGAAAUUCUUUUACCA
RNAcentral lists this transfer RNA (64 nucleotides) under Stilicoderus aquilinus. RNAcentral describes it as "tRNA-Tyr". The record is from RNAcentral. Lineage: Eukaryota; Metazoa; Arthropoda; Insecta; Coleoptera; Staphylinidae.